RNAcentral lists this ribosomal RNA (460 nucleotides) under uncultured bacterium. Its description in RNAcentral is "partial 16S ribosomal RNA". It matches the Rfam family "Bacterial small subunit ribosomal RNA", at positions 338 to 795 of the family's 1533-position model. The record is from RNAcentral.
CCUACGGGGGGCUGCAGUGAGGAAUAUUGGUCAAUGGACGAGAGUCUGAACCAGCCAAGUCGCGUGAAGGAUGACUGCCCUAUGGGUUGUAAACUUCUUUUAUAUGGGAAUAAAAUGUUCCACGUGUGGGAGUUUGUAUGUACCAUAUGAAUAAGGAUCGGCUAACUCCGUGCCAGCAGCCGCGGUAAUACGGAGGAUCCGAGCGUUAUCCGGAUUUAUUGGGUUUAAAGGGUGCGUAGGUGGAUUGUUAAGUCAGUUGUGAAAGUUUGCGGCUCAACCGUAAAAUUGCAGUUGAAACUGGCAGUCUUGAGUACGGGAGAGGUAGGCGGAAUUCGCGGUGUAGCGGUGAAAUGCUUAGAUAUCACGAAGAACUCCGAUUGCGAAGGCAGCUCACUGGACUGACACUGACACUGAGGCUCGAAAGUGUGGGUAUCAAACAGGAUUAGAUACCCGGGUAGUC